AUUAAAUUUUAAUUAUUCCUAAUAAAUAUAAGUUCUCAAAUACAAUUUAACAAUAAUUAUAGGUACAAUAUUACAUACUAUUGUAUAUAUAUAUACAAUAGGUACAACUUGGUUGAAUAGUAUUGAAAUUUAAGCAACCAUCUUAAUUUAAUUUAUAAUAAAACUAUUGAUCAACUACUGCUGAUUAACGGAACCAGCAUUGGGGAACACAUGCAAUAAAAACCUAGAAAAUUUAUAAGCACACUAAAUAAAUAGCUUUUACAGUAACCCAUUUCUAUAUAUUACAAUUUGACACCAAUUACCCUCUUUUGUAUUUUGUAAUUUACAAUCAUCAACUUUAAUUAACUUUGUAAUCCAAAUGGAGUGGAAUUACUUGUUCAAAAAAUUAAUUUCCGAGUGUCCCAAACGGGAACUGGACCUGAGGCUUCAGAUUCAAAAGCCCAUUGAAACCAAUCCUAUGCUGGACCAACCAACAAUUUUCGGGUUUCUCUGUGUUAAG
Molecule: non-coding RNA, 499 nt
Organism: Paramuricea clavata
Lineage: Eukaryota; Metazoa; Cnidaria; Anthozoa; Malacalcyonacea; Plexauridae
Source: the annotation of a GenBank genome assembly